GUUGAACCAAAAGGGGGUUUCCCCCAUUUUCCCAACUCUCUUUCUCUCUCUUCUCUCUAAAACCAAAUUUGUUGUGCCGCCGCUGCCCCACCCUACGCCAUCGUCGCUCUUCUCUCCUUGAGCAUUAGUUCCAUCGUACCCUUUCCCCGUUGGCGUCACCACCCGUCGUCCCCACUGCCUCUUUUCCUUAACUUGUUAAGGUUAGAGUUUAAUUUUAGUUUUUUUUCAAUUCUAGUAAUAUUUGAUCUGUUAAAAACUAGUAUAUUAUUUUAGUUUGAUGAAUAGUGUUAUUUUCAAUUGUUAAUUUGUAUAUUUGAUUAUUGUUAGUUAGAUAGAGAAUUGAGAAUUUUUUAUUUUAGGGUUUUCUUCUAAUUUAGUGUUUUUCAAAUAUGAUAGUGAAUUGAGUGUUAGAAAAUAGAACAAACAAAUAGUUAGAAGUUAGAAGUUAGAUUAGUUGCAUUUUUCAACUUUGAAAUUCUUGAAUUUAGUAUGUUUGACGGUUGAAGUUAGAAACACAUUGAAUUGUAUAUGAAAGUUAAAAUGAGAUUAAUUGAAUUUUUCUACAUAGAAAAGUUCUUGAAUUUUAGUACGUUUGAAAGUUGAAGUUAGAAAAAUUGGAGAUUUAGGUUGUGAAACGUUGGAAAUCUUAAAUUACUGUAGAAUUUUAGAACUUUAAGUUAUGAAUUUAGAACUUUAAGUUAUAAAUUUUAGAAAAGUUGUUUUUUUAGGAUUUUAAAAUUUUAAGUUGUGAACUUUAGAAAUCUUGAAUUAUUUUAGGAUUUUCGAACUUUAGGCUGUGAACUUUAGAAAUCUUGAAUUAUUUUGGAAUUUUAGACUUUAAGUUGUGACCUUUAGAAAUCUUGAAUUAUUGUAGGAUAUUAAAUUUUAGGUUGUGAACUUUAGAAAUCUUAAUUUAUAGAAUUUAUGAACUAAUUAUUAGGUUGAACUUUAAAAAUCUUGAUAAAAUAUAGUCUUUAUGAAUUAUUUGUAAUUUUGAAACGAAUUUUGAAAGACUUUAUAAGUCUUUAAAUUGUGAUUUAGAUAUGUUUGAAUAUUAAUUUAUGUUUGUUGUUUUACAUUUUGUGUAGCUUCUUUAUAAUGUUUUGUGUUUGAUUGGGAUUGAGUUGACUUGACUUCAAUUAAAUUGAAUUGAUUUUGCAGAUGAGUAACAGAAUUUGGCAGUUUCUGUGUCAAACAAAUAUUAGAAAAAAGCAACGAACAAAAUGAUUUUGUCCAUCAUUUUUUUUGGAUUUUAUUUUUAAAAAAAAUUCAGAAAAGCAACGAACAAGUUCCUUUAGUCCGUCGCUGUUUUAAUUUUAUUUAUUUUUAAAACCCAAAAAAGUGAUGUACAUGGUUCUUUAGUUCGUCGCUUUUUUAAAGUUUUCACAUUUUUAUUUUCAAAAAAGUGACGGAUAGUGUCUCAUUGUCCGUCGCUUUUCAAGAUUUUAAAUCGACGGAUUUCAUCUCUCUUUUUAAUUUAAAAAUAAAAUAAAAUAAAAUAAGUGAUAGACGACGUCACAUUCUUCAAAAAAAAUAUUUUAAAAAAAUAAAAUAUGACGCAGUCCGUCGCUUUUGAAAAAGCAUCGAGCCAAGAAACAAAGAGAUUAACUGUGUCGCUUUUCCGUCUCUUUUUCCCCCCAGUAUUUUAGUAGUGAAUGUCGAAGGAGAAACAAGGCCUAAUGUUUUAAAUGUAAGAAGUCUAUGGCAAUAACUAGUCUAAGCCUAUACUAGGUCGAAGCUCAAUUAUACAAUCACAACAACUUACAAGUCAAAACAUAAGAUAAGGAUAGACUCAUAGCCCCCAACUAGCUAGUAUAGUUAUAAUCCUGAAAUAAUAUCGAUCAAGCCUAAAACAUGGUUUUUAUGAAAGAAAACCAACCAGGUACUCUCCCUCAUUUGACUCUAAUCAACAUAUGUUCACACAUUCAACCUCAAUCUAGGAUAAAGAAAGUUGUAGCCUACCUUAAGGCUGACAGCAUAUGCUCCAAAUCACAUAUCUGGAGUUUUUUCUUUACGAACAACCUCAGAAUGUUGCCCCGCUAUUGAAAAUAGGAUUACAAUGUUAAUACACUCCUUUAGACACUAAACCACAUAAAAUAGAGACAUAACACUUUUUAAAUCAAACAGGAACCAUGGCACCAAUGCCGAAACUUCUGGGAUCGACUAAGUUAAAAAGUCUUAAAUAGUACCCCCAAACUUGUGUUCCAAAUGGAACACAAUUCGGGGCUCGAAACAACAAGAACAAACAACAUACGACAAUUUCACCAUUAAAGAUAACAACUAAGAUAAGGUAGCCUACAAUUGAACGAAUUUACCUGAAACGAGAGAUGCCACACACUUUCAAUCACACCACUGCAUAGACCCAAGCUCAAAAAGACACCAGACUUUGAAUUGUUGCAAUCAAAUCUCUAAAGAGGGAUGGAUCGCUAAAACUUAAGUGACCACUUAUCUCUCUUAAGUGAUUGGCCUGCAAGAGGCGGUUUAUUCCAUAAGCCCCUGGUCGCUAAAGUGAGCCUUGCUUAAGCAACACUAGGGUCACAAAAAGGGUAUGGUUUGGCCUGCUAAGCUCGUUUAAGUGAUACCCUAGUCGUAAAGUGAUGCUCGUUUAAGCGAUGAGAGAGAUGCUAAAGCGACUUCCAUUUAAGUGGCCUAGCUUGCUAAAGCGGAGCCUUGGCUACUAAAGCAAAAUCGCUUAAACGAGGCAGGGUCGAAAAAGUAAGCACCAACAUCAAGUACCAAUAAAAUCAGCUAAGUUUUGUUUAAAACCCCAUGCACACAAAAGAGAUAUGCCACCUAAUCAUAUUUGACAUUUCUAGACUCAAGGGAGAAGUCAAAACUUCCAUUCGAUGUUGUCUUGACAAAAAGUGAAUCUCACACCCAAACUCCAAUUUAAGCCAAAAUUCACAAGGGGGCUCAGAAUUAGCUUAGGAGCCUCAAGAUCAGCACGGAGGGUCCUCAGACUCUUUCUAGGUGUAUGGUGUACUUUUUUUAUUUUCCUGCAUGGUUUGUAAUUGAUCUUUUUUAUUCUUCACAAUGUGUACAAGAUUUGUGGAGGUUUUCAUUUGAAUAGAGAAGAAGAACAACGAAGUGGUUGAAAGAGAAAUAGUUAGGCCCGUGGGGAGAAACAGAAACGUGGGUAUGUGGGAGUGGGAUGAAGAUCAGUUAAAAAACUCUCCCGAAAGGUGUAAUUGAUACUUAUCAAUUGAUUCUCUCUCAUUAAUGUUAUUUCUUUCACCUAUUAAUUAUGAUAACAUUAUAUAAUUUUUUAAUCAAAUAUAAUUAACAAAUUAAAAUUGAUCUCUUAAUACUUGUAAUUAAAACUUUAUCAGUAGUAAUUAAAAAAGCGGAUACAAAGACGGCAAUAUUAACCCUUAAAUAGAUAUGAGUGAUUCUUUUAUUUGUAAUCUGAAUCAAACAAAUCAAAAUGAAUUGAGCUAAAAUCAUUGAUAAUAUUGAAGUUAUAAAUCUCAUUAAAACAUAUACCUAUACUAUUUCAGAGUUCAGAUCCAUUUAAAUGUCAUUUUAACCAAACAAAUUUAAUUUAAAAAGAAUUGCGUUUUUAGGGAUCUAGAAGUAGUAAAAAUUUUCUUUUCAAAUUUUUCAUUGUUUUAAUAAAUUAUAUCAUUUCAAACAAUAAUUAUAUAAAUAAUUUCCUAAAAGGUUCCUCAAUCAUUCCUAUUCAAUUUUAGGAGAGAUAAAAGAUUGAUCAAUUAUAUAAUUUUUAUGACUGAUGGACUAGUAUUAUUUUCAAAAAAUAAAUAAAUGUGAAAUGAUACUUAAAAUGGGCAGAGAGUAAAAAAAAUAAUUAAAAAAAAUUGGGCAGUGAGCACGAAAUAAGACGGAAAAUAAUAGGGUAAACUACAUAAAUUCCAUUAAUUUAGGCUCUAAUUACUUAGAUCCCAAUAGUUUUAAAUAUUACUUCCUCUACCAUAUUUCAUACUUAGGAUACAUGAGUUUAAAUCCGUGAGAUAUAUGUAUCUGCCGAAUUUCAAAAUUGAGAUACGUAUUUUAUUUGUUUGAAUUAAUUGGUUAUAACCAAAUUUCUUAAUAUAAGGCGAAAAUCAAGGAGUGUAUCUAUUUUAGUUAAUUUCAUUUUUAUUAUUAUUUGAAAUAAUAAAUUCGUUAAUAUUAUUUAUAAAAGAC
RNAcentral lists this long non-coding RNA (4143 nucleotides) under Solanum lycopersicum (tomato). RNAcentral's name for it is "long non-coding RNA (SLYC_LNC000171)". The record is from RNAcentral. Lineage: Eukaryota; Viridiplantae; Streptophyta; Magnoliopsida; Solanales; Solanaceae.